AUCCAUGUUUCUUUCUCUCCUCCUCCUCCCUCCCUCCUUUCUACUCUCUAAAAAAAAAAGUUCACACCUGCAUGCAAGAGCAACCUGGAGAGACUUUGACAGCUCAGGUCAGCAUAAUACCUGCAGCUGCCACUCGCCUUUCCUAUAUCU
RNAcentral lists this small nucleolar RNA (150 nucleotides) under Myotis lucifugus (little brown bat). RNAcentral's name for it is "Small nucleolar RNA SNORA44". It matches the Rfam family "Small nucleolar RNA SNORA44". Rfam says of the family: ACA44 is a member of the H/ACA class of snoRNA that guide the sites of modification of uridines to pseudouridines. The record is from Rfam by way of RNAcentral. Lineage: Eukaryota; Metazoa; Chordata; Mammalia; Chiroptera; Vespertilionidae.